GCUUCUUAUGGUUUGAAUGGCUUGUGAGUGGGGCGUGUGUGUGAGAGUGUUUGGGUGAGUAAAUGUCGAGUGUUUGUGCGUGCGAGUGUGUAUUUCUGUUAAAAAAAAACCUACACAAUGAUCUUAUUUGAUCUGGUCUGAGUUUGGCUCUGCUCCGAUCAGAGAUGAUAGGAAAAGCGCCCGCGAGCCUCCGUGGCGAUGAGCAGCUGGCGAGAUGUUCAGGGCCUCCACGCUUCAUACCGUGGUCAGAGAUGAUGAAUUGAUCAGAUAUACUAGUUCUGAGUGAGUUUGGGUUCUUCUCGAGCUUCACAAUGGACAAUGAGUAUAGAGGCGAUUCUGAUCUAA
This 345-nucleotide small nucleolar RNA is filed under the name Sander lucioperca (pikeperch). RNAcentral's name for it is "Small Cajal body-specific RNA 2 (ENSSLUG00000023203.1)". It matches the Rfam family "Small Cajal body-specific RNA 2". Lineage: Eukaryota; Metazoa; Chordata; Actinopteri; Perciformes; Percidae. The record is from RNAcentral.